RNAcentral lists this ribosomal RNA (465 nucleotides) under uncultured bacterium. RNAcentral's name for it is "partial 16S ribosomal RNA". It matches the Rfam family "Bacterial small subunit ribosomal RNA", at positions 338 to 795 of the family's 1533-position model. The record is from RNAcentral.
CCUACGGGAGGCAGCAGUAGGGAAUCUUCCACAAUGGGCGAAAGCCUGAUGGAGCAACGCCGCGUGGGUGAAGAAGGUCUUCGGAUCGUAAAACCCUGUUGUUAGAGAAGAAAGUGCGUGAGAGUAACUGUUCACGUUUCGACGGUAUCUAACCAGAAAGCCACGGCUAACUACGUGCCAGCAGCCGCGGUAAUACGUAGGUGGCAAGCGUUAUCCGGAUUUAUUGGGCGUAAAGGGAACGCAGGCGGUCUUUUAAGUCUGAUGUGAAAGCCUUCGGCUUAACCGGAGUAGUGCAUUGGAAACUGGGAGACUGGAGGGCAGAAGAGGAGAGUGGAACUCCAUGGGUAGCGGUGAAAUGCGUAGAUAUAUGGAAGAACACCAGUGGCGAAAGCGGCUCUCUGGUCUGUAACUGACGCUGAGGUUCGAAAGCGUGGGUAGCAAACAGGAUUAGAUACCCUUGUAGUC